Molecule: ribosomal RNA, 238 nt
Filed under: uncultured bacterium
Lineage: Bacteria
Description: partial 16S ribosomal RNA
Rfam family: Bacterial small subunit ribosomal RNA
Source: RNAcentral
CGGAACGGGUGAGUAACGCGUGAGGAACCUGCCUCAAAGAGGGGGACAACAGUUGGAAACGACUGCUAAUACCGCAUAAGCCCACGGCUCGGCAUCGAGCAGAGGGAAAAGGAGCAAUCCGCUUUGAGAUGGCCUCGCGUCCGAUUAGCUAGUUGGUGAGGUAACGGCCCACCAAGGCGACGAUCGGUAGCCGGACUGGGAGGUUGAACGGCCACAUUAGGACUGAGACACGGCCCAG